Molecule: transfer RNA, 72 nt
Filed under: Ornithorhynchus anatinus (platypus)
Lineage: Eukaryota; Metazoa; Chordata; Mammalia; Monotremata; Ornithorhynchidae
Rfam family: tRNA
About the family: Transfer RNA (tRNA) molecules are approximately 80 nucleotides in length. Their secondary structure includes four short double-helical elements and three loops (D, anti-codon, and T loops).
Source: Rfam by way of RNAcentral
AGCAGUGUGGCUUAGUGGCAAGAACCUGGGUUUGGGAGUCAGAGGUCAUGGGUUCAAAUCCUAGCUCUGCUG